UACGGAGGAUGCGAGCGUUAUCCGGAUUUAUUGGGUUUAAAGGGUGCGUAGGCGGCCUUUUAAGUCAGCGGUGAAAGUCUGUGGCUCAACCAUAGAAUUGCCGUUGAAACUGGGGGGCUUGAGUAUGUUUGAGGCAGGCGGAAUGCGUGGUGUAGCGGUGAAAUGCAUAGAUAUCACGAAGAACCCCGAUUGCGAAGGCAGCUUACCAAACUAUAUCUGACGUUGAGGCACGAAAGCGUGGGUAGCAAACAGG
This 253-nucleotide ribosomal RNA is filed under the name uncultured Parabacteroides sp. RNAcentral describes it as "partial 16S ribosomal RNA". It matches the Rfam family "Bacterial small subunit ribosomal RNA", at positions 524 to 776 of the family's 1533-position model. The record is from RNAcentral. Lineage: Bacteria; Pseudomonadati; Bacteroidota; Bacteroidia; Bacteroidales; Tannerellaceae.